RNAcentral lists this ribosomal RNA (427 nucleotides) under uncultured beta proteobacterium. RNAcentral's name for it is "bacterial SSU rRNA". It matches the Rfam family "Bacterial small subunit ribosomal RNA", at positions 355 to 774 of the family's 1533-position model. Lineage: Bacteria; Pseudomonadati; Pseudomonadota; Betaproteobacteria. The record is from RNAcentral.
UGGGGAAUUUUGGACAAUGGGCGAAAGCCUGAUCCAGCCAUGCCGCGUGAGUGAAGAAGGCCUUCGGGUUGUAAAGCUCUUUUAGUCGGAAAGAAAGAGUUGCAAUGAAUAAUUGUGAUUUAUGACGGUACCGACAGAAAAAGCACCGGCUAACUACGUGCCAGCAGCCGCGGUAAUACGUAGGGUGCGAGCGUUAAUUGGAAUUACUGGGCGUAAAGGGUGCGCAGGCGGUCUUGCAAGUCAGAUGUGAAAGCCCCGGGCUUAACCUGGGAAUUGCGUUUGAAACUACAAGGCUAGAGUGCAGCAGAGGGGAGUGGAAUUCCAUGUGUAGCAGUGAAAUGCGUAGAGAUGUGGAAGAACACCGAUGGCGAAGGCAGCUCCCUGGGUUGACACUGACGCUCAUGCACGAAAGCGUGGGGAGCAAACA